ACUAUUUUGGCAGAUAAGUGUAAUAGAUUUAGAAUCUAUAAAUGUAGUAGAUUAACUAUAAAUAGUA
RNAcentral lists this transfer RNA (67 nucleotides) under Archimandrita tessellata. Its description in RNAcentral is "tRNA-Leu". It matches the Rfam family "tRNA". Rfam says of the family: Transfer RNA (tRNA) molecules are approximately 80 nucleotides in length. Their secondary structure includes four short double-helical elements and three loops (D, anti-codon, and T loops). Further hydrogen bonds mediate the characteristic L-shaped molecular structure. tRNAs have two regions of fundamental functional importance: the anti-codon, which is responsible for specific mRNA codon recognition, and the 3' end, to which the tRNAs corresponding amino acid is attached (by aminoacyl-tRNA synthetases). tRNAs cope with the degeneracy of the genetic code in two manners: having more than one tRNA (with a specific anti-codon) for a particular amino acid; and 'wobble' base-pairing, i.e. permitting non-standard base-pairing at the 3rd anti-codon position. Lineage: Eukaryota; Metazoa; Arthropoda; Insecta; Blattodea; Blaberidae. The record is from RNAcentral.